Molecule: RNA transcript, 1670 nt
Organism: Carlito syrichta (Philippine tarsier)
Lineage: Eukaryota; Metazoa; Chordata; Mammalia; Primates; Tarsiidae
Gene name: negative elongation factor E pseudogene
Exons: 2
Source: RefSeq, a predicted model, not a curated record
AUGGAGGACUUCCGGCAAGAUGGCAACGGGGCAACCUGGUCUGUGAAAACCUCUGCAAAGGAGAACUGCAGUGUGUCUCUGACUCUUGCCCCGGGGGCUACGGACCCUAACAUCGCAGCCCGCUCUUCAUACGGAGCUCGGCUGUUGCCACCUCUGGGGCAUCGCAGCGGUCUGGACAGCCACUGUAGUGCAGAUGCUGCCACUGCAGCCGCUGCAGCCACCGCCACCGCCACUGGUAACACCUCGCACCACCGGGGCCGGAGGCGAUCCACAACUUCAGUCCUUAAAGCCCCUUCAGGGAAAAUCUGCUGGGAUCGCUGCCACCUCUCCUGCAAUCGAGACGUCCUGCCUGCCAUAAGUCUCCUGCCGUCUGCCCUGAGGCAGGCAGCCAUUUUGCCAUCUUCAGCCUCUGCUGUCCCUAAGCUCCCCUUGAUCGCGCUGAGCCCCCUCUCAGCGGCUAGCGCGGGCACCGCCGGAGACAGGGGGGCCGGGGUCGCCGCCCCCUCAGGAGCCACCAUGUUGGUGACACCCCCCCGGACUGAGCGAGGAGGAGGAGGCUCUGCAGAAGAAAUUCAACAAACUCAAGAAAAAGGAAAAGGCGUUGCCGGCUCUGAAGAAGCCAAGUAGCAGCAGCAGCACAGCCCGCCAAGGCGGUGUCAAACGCUCACGGUCAGAGCGGCCUGUGGGAGACCCAGCCCCAGCAACAGAGCGGGCAAAGCAGCUGGUGAGGUCAGGAGCCGUCAGGGCCAUCAAGGCUGAGACCAAGAACUCAGGCUUCAAGCGUUCUCGAACCCUAGCGGGAGAGUUAAAGGACCCUGAGAAGGGACCAGUCCCCACUUUCCAGCGGAAAGCCGGUCUGCUGACGACGACCUGCGGGAGUCAUCCAGACGUCCCCAGAGGAAACCUCCGUUUGAGAGCUUCGUGUCUUCUCGUGAUCGGCCUCGAGAACUGGGGAAGAGACAGAGGGCCCAGGGGCUGGUGAUGGCCCCCCUCGAAGCUUUGACUGGGGCUGUGAAGAACGUAGUGGUGCCGGCUCCUCAGUCUCUCCUCCCGGAAGCCGCAGCAGGGACGGCAGCCAUGAGAGGAACCGGGACAGAGACCGAGAUCGGGACCGGGACCGAGAUCGGGACCGGGACCGGGACCGGGACCGGGACCGGGACCGAGAUCGGGACAGAGACCGAGGUCGAGAGGGCCCUUUCCACGGCUCAGACUCAUUUUCUGAACGCUGGACCCUUCGGAAGGGGAAUGCUCUCUAUGUGUACGGAGAAGACAUGACACCCACCCUCCUCCGUGGGGUCUUUCUCUCUCUUUGGAAAUAUCAUGACCUCUUCAUGGAGCCACCUAGAAACUGUGCCUUCGUCACCGAUGAAAAGAUGGAGUCGGCAGAUCAGGCUGUUGCUGAGCCCAAUGGGACCCAGGUGGAGUCCAUACGGCUCAAAGUCAACAUAGCCCGCAGACAGCCCAGGCUGGACGCUGCUACUGGCCAGUCGGUUUGGGGCUCCCUCGCUGACCAGAACAGCCCUAAGGGUUGCCAACGGGACAAGAGGACCCAGAUUAUCUACAGUGAUGACAUCUACAAGGAAAACCUUGUGGAUGGCUUUUAGGGAAUGGAGUGGGAUUCCUUGUGCCUCAUAUGUCCCAAUGCUGGUCUCAGUAAAACAGAGGUGGAA